This 463-nucleotide ribosomal RNA is filed under the name uncultured bacterium. Its description in RNAcentral is "partial 16S ribosomal RNA". It matches the Rfam family "Bacterial small subunit ribosomal RNA", at positions 28 to 507 of the family's 1533-position model. The record is from RNAcentral.
GAUGAACGCUGACAGAAUGCUUAACACAUGCAAGUCUUUGGCGAAGCUGUGCUUGCACAGCCUAGCCAAGGCGGACGGGUGAGUAACGCGUAAGGAACUUGCCCUGCAGUCAGGGAUAACAGACGGAAACGACUGAUAAGACCUGGUAAAGUCAGGCGGACUCAUGUCCAGCCUGAUGAAAAGUGAUGCUGCAGGAGAGCCUUGCGUCCUAUUAGCUUGUUGGUGGGGUAACGGCCCACCAAGGCGAUGAUAGGUAGCCGGCCUGAGAGGGUGGACGGCCACAAGGGGACUGAGAUACGGCCCCUACUCCUACGGGAGGCAGCAGUGGGGAAUAUUGGACAAUGGGGGCAACCCUGAUCCAGCAAUUCUGUGUGCACGAUGAAGGUUUUCGGAUUGUAAAGUGCUUUCAGCAGGGAAGAAAAAAAUGACGGUACCUGCAGAAGAAGCGACGGCUAAAUACGUG